This 506-nucleotide ribosomal RNA is filed under the name uncultured bacterium. RNAcentral describes it as "partial 16S ribosomal RNA". It matches the Rfam family "Bacterial small subunit ribosomal RNA", at positions 29 to 523 of the family's 1533-position model. The record is from RNAcentral.
AGUGAACGCUGGCGGUAGGCCUAACUCAUGCAAGUCGAACGGCAGCACAGGAGAGCUUGCUCUCUGGGUGGCGAGUGGCGGACGGGUGAGGAAUACAUCGGAAUCUACUCUGUCGGGGGGGAUAACGUAGGGAAACUUACGCUAAUACCGCAUACGACCUACGGGUGUAAGCAGGGGACCUUCGGGCCUUGCGCGAUUGAAUGAGCCGAUGUCGGAUUAGCUAGUUGGCGGGGUAAAGGCCCACCAAGGCGACGAUCCGUAGCUAGUCUGAGAGGAUGAUCAGCCACACUGGAACUGAGACACGGUCCAGACUCCUACGGGAGGCAGCAGUGGGGAAUAUUGGACAAUGGGCGCAAGCCUGAUCCAGCCAUACCGCGUGGGUGAAGAAGGCCUUCGGGUUGUAAAGCCCUUUUGUUGGGAAAGAAAUCCAGCUGGCUAAUACCCGGUUGGGAUGACGGUACCCAAAGAAUAAGCACCGGCUAACUUCGUGCCAGCCGCCGCGGUAA